AGGAGUAGAUCAUUUCCCAUGACUUAUUUCCCAUCU
RNAcentral lists this small RNA (36 nucleotides) under Acididesulfobacillus acetoxydans. Its description in RNAcentral is "CRISPR spacer". Lineage: Bacteria; Bacillati; Bacillota; Clostridia; Eubacteriales; Peptococcaceae. The record is from RNAcentral.